Molecule: long non-coding RNA, 1032 nt
Organism: Heterocephalus glaber (naked mole-rat)
Lineage: Eukaryota; Metazoa; Chordata; Mammalia; Rodentia; Bathyergidae
Source: Ensembl
CUCCUCAUCAACCAUGAGAGCAUUUGGGAAACACUGCCCACCAACUGUGCUGUAGAACACUAGAAGGGCUAGAGAGACCUACAAAUGAGUUUACUUCUCCUAACAGGAAGCCGUGCGCAACAAUAGCCAAAGGAUCUUUGCUGUAACCAAAAGAUUGUAUUACAAGAAAAUUAAGCCAAAUUGCAAAUGUCUUAGGCAAGAGGAGAGCCCAUGUUCUCACCCACAUCCUUCCUCUGAAGAAUUCGAACUCUGUGGCCCACCUGCCUGCUGUGGGCAAGAUCUCACCACCAGAAGUGAGCCCCCAGGGGCCACAUUGUUCUCGGCCAGCUUUGAAGAUGAGGAUCCUCUGGGUAUGCCUGAAAGCUCAGAUCCCAGAAGACCCAAAACUCCCCGAAAUGCUUAUCUGCAACAAGCAGCUUCACCUCUCUGAGCUCAUUUCUUCACCUGAAAAAUGCAGAAUGAAUAACUCUUUCUUCCCAGACACAAAUCUGUGGUUUGAUGGCACUUGGGAAUUUUCACAUCAAGGGAAGUUUGGGGGUAAAAAUUAAUGAUUCAGUGACCCCUGAGUUUUUGAUUUCACAGGAAGGAAUACGGAAUAUAAGAUUGUCAAUAUAGUCACACCCCUGAUCCACAGUUAAACUUUCUGACAUUUCAUUUUCCCUCAGUCAGGCAUGGUCUGAAAACUUUACAUGGAAAAUUCCACAAAUAAGUGAUUCAUACAUUCUAUACAACCCUUAUUACAUUACAUUGUUAUAAUUGUUUUACAUUAUUAUUAGUUGCUGUUAACCUCUUCCUGUGCCUAAUUUAUAAAUGAAUCUUUAUCAUAGAUAUGAAUAUAGGAAAAAAACGUGUUAUAUAGGGUCCACAGGGUCUAUCCACAGUUUCAGGCAUUUCUGCAAGGCUUGGAAUGCAUCUCCAAGAAUAAGAACUGUGGCAUCCUGCAGGGAUGAGUGGACUCUAGCCACAACCAGGACCUGACCAGAGGCACAGCCACCCCACUGACCCCUUGGUGACAUUGGAAGAUCCCACGCC